CUGAAGCCGAACGGCAACGUCAGGGGCUGGGCACCCAGGUGAAUCUGAAAGGCGGAGCUUGAGCGAGCAGGGAGGCGGAGCAGAAAGUUCCUACCCUCCUGAGGGAAGAAGCAGAAACCAGCCAAGGGGUGGUAUCUGUGGCUUGCUGUGAUACAGAGGAAGAUUGAAGUGCUUACUCCAGAGACGUGCCAGCUCCUCUGUCAUGAGAAAAUUCAAGCACCAAAUGGAAAGGCACAGGUGAGAAAUUGAGGGUUCUGGCCGAUAGCCAGCUGAGAACAGAGCUUCCUGCCGGCUGCCUGGUGUAUGAACUUGGAUGAGAGAUGACUGCAGCCCCAG
This is a long non-coding RNA of Ochotona princeps (American pika), 336 nucleotides long. RefSeq lists it as uncharacterized. The transcript is spliced from 3 exons. NCBI's taxonomy places the organism in Eukaryota, Metazoa, Chordata, Mammalia, Lagomorpha, Ochotonidae. The record is from RefSeq and is a predicted model, not a curated record.